AGUGAACGCUGGCGGUAGGCCUAACACAUGCAAGUCGAACGGCAGCACAGUAAGAGCUUGCUCUUACGGGUGGCGAGUGGCGGACGGGUGAGGAAUACAUCGGAAUCUACUUUUUCGUGGGGGAUAACGUAGGGAAACUUACGCUAAUACCGCAUACGACCUACGGGUGAAAGCAGGGGAUCUUCGGACCUUGCGCGAUUGAAUGAGCCGAUGUCGGAUUAGCUAGUUGGCGGGGUAAAGGCCCACCAAGGCGACGAUCCGUAGCUGGCCUGAGAGGAUGAUCAGCCACACUGGAACUGAGACACGGUCCAGACUCCUACGGGAGGCAGCAGUGGGGAAUAUUGGACAAUGGGCGCGAGCCUGAUCCAGCCAUACCGCGUGGGUGAAGAAGGCCUUCGGGUUGUAAAGCCCUUUUGUUGGGAAAGAAAAGCAGCAGGUUAAUACCCCGCUGUUCUGACGGUACCCAAAGAAUAAGCACCGGCUAACUUCGUG
RNAcentral lists this ribosomal RNA (492 nucleotides) under uncultured bacterium. Its description in RNAcentral is "partial 16S ribosomal RNA". It matches the Rfam family "Bacterial small subunit ribosomal RNA", at positions 29 to 507 of the family's 1533-position model. The record is from RNAcentral.